RNAcentral lists this ribosomal RNA (442 nucleotides) under uncultured bacterium. RNAcentral describes it as "partial 16S ribosomal RNA". It matches the Rfam family "Bacterial small subunit ribosomal RNA", at positions 338 to 795 of the family's 1533-position model. The record is from RNAcentral.
GCUACGGGUGGCAGCAGUGGGGAAUAUUGGGCAAUGGAGGAAACUCUGACCCAGCAACGCCGCGUGAAUGAUGAAGGUCUUCGGAUUGUAAAGUUCUUUUCUGGGGGACGAACAAAUGACGGUACUGCAGGAAUAAACCACGGAUAACUACGUGCCAGCAGCCGCGGGAACACGUAGGGGGCAAGCUUUACCCGGAUUUAUUGGGUGGAAAGGGCGUGUAGAUGGGAAUGCAAGUCAGAUGUGAAACCCCAGGGGUCAACCCUGGGACUGCAUUUGAAACUGUGUGUCUUGAGUACUGGAGAGGUAAUCGGAAUUCCGUGUGUAGCGGUGAAAUGCGUAGAUAUACGGAGGAACACCAGUGGCGAAGGCGGAUUGCUGGACAGUAACUGACGCUGAGGCGCGAAAGCGUGGGGAGCAAACAGGAUUAGAUACCCUUGUAGUC